GACAGAGGGUGCAAACGUUGUUCGGAAUUACUGGGCGUAAAGCGCGCGCAGGCGGCUAUCCAAGUCAGUGGUGAAAGCCCGGAGCUCAACUCCGGAACUGCCAUUGAAACUGUUUAGCUUGAGGACGAGAGAGGUGAGUGGAAUUCCCAGUGUAGAGGUGAAAUUCGUAGAUAUUGGGAAGAACACCGGUGGCGAAGGCGGCUACACUGGCUCGUAUCUGACGCUCAGGCGCGACAGCGUGGGGAUCAAACAGG
Molecule: ribosomal RNA, 254 nt
Filed under: uncultured bacterium
Lineage: Bacteria
Description: partial 16S ribosomal RNA
Rfam family: Bacterial small subunit ribosomal RNA
Source: RNAcentral